Molecule: transfer RNA, 84 nt
Filed under: Clostridia bacterium
Lineage: Bacteria; Bacillati; Bacillota; Clostridia
Description: tRNA-Leu
Rfam family: tRNA
About the family: Transfer RNA (tRNA) molecules are approximately 80 nucleotides in length. Their secondary structure includes four short double-helical elements and three loops (D, anti-codon, and T loops).
Source: RNAcentral
GCGAGAGUGGCGGAAUUGGUAGACGCGCACGUUUGAGGGGCGUGUGAUUCGCUCGUACGGGUUCAAGUCCCGUUUCUCGCACCA